RNAcentral lists this long non-coding RNA (451 nucleotides) under Homo sapiens (human). RNAcentral's name for it is "HSALNT0330018". Lineage: Eukaryota; Metazoa; Chordata; Mammalia; Primates; Hominidae. The record is from RNAcentral.
GAGUCUCAAGGACCCUCUGUAGUCUACAGCCUAAAUUUUGAGAGUUGCUGAUACAGACCAAUAAAUUUCAUGUAAGGAAGAAAAGUACUGCAAGCAGUUGAUUGUUUCAAAGGUGGCACCAUCAUUCCAUCUUCAAGAGGAAAGGUGAGAAUGACAAUAUCAUAGAAUUUUACUAUUUUCCUUUUCUGGCAGGACCUAUUCAGGAAAAUUUCUGACUUGUUCCUGCUGGUUUUAAACUAAAACAUGGUAUGGCAGACACGAUCUUUACAGGCUAAAACAACAUGAAAAGCAGCAGAUACUAAAUCAAUACUCUCAUAAGUACUCUGUACCAGUAACAAAGACAAAGCCUCUUAACAUAUUGGGUUGGUUACCUAAGUUCAUGGAAAACCUCAGAUAUUCCAUAAAGAUACUACCAGGUACCUGAAGCUCCCAUCAUCUUCUAAAUACAGAA